Molecule: ribosomal RNA, 253 nt
Filed under: uncultured bacterium
Lineage: Bacteria
Description: partial 16S ribosomal RNA
Rfam family: Bacterial small subunit ribosomal RNA
Source: RNAcentral
UACGUAGGGUGCGAGCGUUAAUCGGAAUUACUGGGCGUAAAGGGUGCGCAGGCGGUUCUGUAAGUCAGAUGUGAAAUCCCCGGGCUUAACCUGGGAACUGCGUUUGAAACUACAGAGCUAGAGUGUGGCAGAGGGGGGUGGAAUUCCAUGUGUAGCAGUGAAAUGCGUAGAGAUAUGGAAGAACAUCGAUGGCGAAGGCAGCCCCCUGGGUCAACACUGACGCUCAUGCACGAAAGCGUGGGGAGCAAACAGG